Molecule: ribosomal RNA, 449 nt
Filed under: uncultured bacterium
Lineage: Bacteria
Description: partial 16S ribosomal RNA
Rfam family: Bacterial small subunit ribosomal RNA
Source: RNAcentral
AGCGAACGCUGGCGGCAGGCCUAAAACAUGCAAGUCGAACGCCGUAGCAAUACGGAGUGGCAGACGGGUGAGUAACACGUGGGAACGUGCCCUUUGGUCCGGAACAACACAGGGAAACUUGUGCUAAUACCGGAUAAGCCCUUACGGGGAAAGAUUUAUCGCCGAAGGAUCGGCCCGCGUCUGAUUAGCUAGUUGGUGGGGUAAUGGCCCACCAAGGCUACGAUCAGUAGCUGGUCUGAGAGGAUGAUCAGCCACACUGGGACUGAGACACGGCCCAGACUCCUACGGGAGGCAGCAGUUAGGAAUCUUGGACAAUGGGCGCAAGCCUGAUCCAGCCAUGCCGCGUGAGUGAUGAAGGCCUUAGGGUUGUAAAGCUCUUUCAGCGGGGAAGAUAAUGACGGUACCCGCAGAAGAAGCCCCGGCUAACUUCGUGCCAGCAGCCGCCGUAA